GCUGCUCUUAUUGAUCGUAUAGGGUAUUGAAAUUUAAUAUUGUUAAAUUGAUAGUUCAUAUCUCUCAUUAAUAUAACUUUUAUGUCUAUAAUAUUCUCUCACUUAUUCUUUUUUGCAUGUGUUAGUAGGUCAACAUCUGGCUCAUGUAAUUGAGCUUGAAGUUGUUCCAUCUUUUGUGCCUCUCUUUUAAGGGAUAAUUCUCACUUUUUGGUAUUCUUCAAUGGGAAGCAAUACAACUUUUGGA
This 244-nucleotide long non-coding RNA is filed under the name Elaeis guineensis (African oil palm). Its description in RNAcentral is "long non-coding RNA (EGUI_LNC029346)". Lineage: Eukaryota; Viridiplantae; Streptophyta; Magnoliopsida; Arecales; Arecaceae. The record is from RNAcentral.